RNAcentral lists this ribosomal RNA (408 nucleotides) under uncultured bacterium. Its description in RNAcentral is "partial 16S ribosomal RNA". It matches the Rfam family "Bacterial small subunit ribosomal RNA", at positions 29 to 526 of the family's 1533-position model. The record is from RNAcentral.
AGUGAACGCUGGCGGCGUGCCUAAUACAUGCAAGUCGAACGGAGUGGCGCACGGGUGAGUAAUGUAUAGCUAAUCUGCCCUACACUAGAGGACAACAGUUGGAAACGGCUGCUAAUACUCUAUAGUGUAGGAUGAGGCUAUAUUGUAUCAGCUAGUUGGUGAGGUAAUGGCUCACCAAGGCUAUGACGCAUAACUGGUCUGAGAGGAUGAUCAGUAACACUGGAACUGAGACAGGGACCAGGCCCCGACGGGAGGCAGCAGUAGGGAAUAUUGCUCAGUGGGGGAAACCCUAAAGCAGCAACGCGGGGUGGAGGAUGACACUUUGCGCAGCGUAAACUCCUUUUGUUAGGGAAGCGGUACCUAACGAAGAAGCACCGGCGAACUCCGUGCCAGCCGCCGCGGUAAUUC